This 120-nucleotide ribosomal RNA is filed under the name uncultured bacterium. Its description in RNAcentral is "partial 16S ribosomal RNA". It matches the Rfam family "Bacterial small subunit ribosomal RNA", at positions 28 to 139 of the family's 1533-position model. The record is from RNAcentral.
GAUGAACGCUGGCGGCGUGCUUAAUACAUGCAAGUCGAGCGAGGACCACUUGGUGGCAACACCGGGUGGCUCCUAGCGGCGAACGGGUGAGUAACACGUGGGCAACCUGCCCCCGACUUU